This 423-nucleotide ribosomal RNA is filed under the name uncultured bacterium. RNAcentral describes it as "partial 16S ribosomal RNA". It matches the Rfam family "Bacterial small subunit ribosomal RNA", at positions 18 to 426 of the family's 1533-position model. The record is from RNAcentral.
CCUGGCUCAGAACGAACGCUGGCGGCGUGGAUUAGGCAUGCAAGUCGAACGUGAAGGGACCGCAAGGUUCCGUAAAGUGGCAAACGGGUGAGUAACGCGUGGGAAACCUACCUUUAUGUUGGGGAUAACACUCCUAACGGAGUGCUAAUACCGAAUGAGAUCAUGGGGUCGCAUGGCCCUAUGAUGAAAGGCGGCCUCUGUUUACAAGCUGUCACAUGAAGAUGGUCCCGCGUCCCAUUAGCUAGUUGGUGGGGUAACGGCCUACCAAGGCAGUGAUGGGUAGCCGGCCUUAGCGGGUGUCCGGCCACACUGGGAUUGAGAUACGGCCCAGACUCCUACGGGAGGCAGCAGUCGAGAGGCUUCUACAACGGGGGAAACCCUGAUAGAGCGACGCCGCGUGGGCGAUGAAGGUCUUCGGAUCGU